CGAACGCUGGCGGCGUGCCUAAUACAUGCAAGUCGAGCGAACAGAUGAGGAGCUUGCUCCUCUGAUGUUAGCGGCGGACGGGUGAGUAACACGUGGGCAACCUGCCCUGCAGAUUGGGAUAACUCCGGGAAACCGGGGCUAAUACCGAAUAACAGAAAGAAUCUCCUGAUUCUUUUUUGAAAGGCGGCUUCGGCUGUCACUGCAGGAUGGGCCCGCGGCGCAUUAGCUAGUUGGUGAGGUAACGGCUCACCAAGGCAACGAUGCGUAGCCGACCUGAGAGGGUGAUCGGCCACACUGGGACUGAGACACGGCCCAGACUCCUACGGGAGGCAGCAGUAGGGAAUCUUCCGCAAUGGACGAAAGUCUGACGGAGCAACGCCGCGUGAGUGAAGAAGGUUUUCGGAUCGUAAAGCUCUGUUGUCAGGGAAGAACAAGUACCAUAGUAACUGAUGGUACCUUGACGGUACCUGACCAGAAAGCCACGGCUAACUACGUGCCAGCAGCCGCGGUAAUACGUAGGUGGCAAGCGUUGUCCGGAAUUAUUGGGCGUAAAGCGCGCGCAGGUGGUUCCAAAAGUCUGAUGUGAAAGCCCCCGGCUCAACCGGGGAGGGUCAUUGGAAACUGGGGAACUUGAGUGCAGGAGAGGAAAGUGGAAUUCCACGUGUAGCGGUGAAAUGCGUAGAUAUGUGGAGGAACACCA
RNAcentral lists this ribosomal RNA (700 nucleotides) under Jeotgalibacillus alimentarius. RNAcentral describes it as "bacterial SSU rRNA". It matches the Rfam family "Bacterial small subunit ribosomal RNA", at positions 30 to 711 of the family's 1533-position model. The record is from RNAcentral. Lineage: Bacteria; Bacillati; Bacillota; Bacilli; Caryophanales; Caryophanaceae.